This 810-nucleotide long non-coding RNA is filed under the name Lepisosteus oculatus (spotted gar). RNAcentral's name for it is "lncRNA (ENSLOCG00000021629.1)". The record is from RNAcentral. Lineage: Eukaryota; Metazoa; Chordata; Actinopteri; Semionotiformes; Lepisosteidae.
UCAAUAGCAAAAGACCAGAACAUUUUUAUAGAUCCAAUUGGGCUGAUGUUCCUGUUGUCCUUUGCUGGCCUGCUGCUCAUUCAGUUCAUUGCUAUGGGAUACCACAGAAUCUACACACUUAUACACUUCAUAGCCUACACAGGAACAGAGUCAAAGGCAUCAGGAAGAAAACAGUCCCAGAAGUCCCAGAAGACCCUGAAAAAUGCAAAGCUGAUAGAAAACCAAACAUGUCUUUAACUGGAGUUAAAGAAUCUGAACAGCAACUCUGACAGCUCAGCUCAGUCUAUCCAGUUGACGUCAGCUGGGACUAACAUCUCAUCUCCCAGUGGCACCUCACAAAGUCUCUUUCUGUUGAACUGUAGCAGAGCUAAAAGACAUCAGCCGAGGGCUCGAUUAUUCAAGGAAAUACCUCCUAUGACAAGUACUUGACAAUGGAUAUAAAAUAUAUUAGCAUUAUAUUUCAAGUACUUUGUAAGUAUGUAGAAUUUUAAGGAUUUCAAGUUUAAAUCAUACGUAAAUUGUCAUUAAUAUUGUGUGCAAAUAUUGUGUGUUCUGUUUACUCCUAUUCUGUGAUUUCAAAACAUUGAUUAUAUUUAGCUAUAUUCAAUGUAUGGGUUUUGAACAAGUACUGCAUUGUGUGUUGUACCAGAAAGUAAAUUUGACAAAUGCAAAAGAAUCUGUUUUUCUACAAAAGCCUCAGAAAAAUAAGGGAAUGUAGCAUAAUUAUAAAACUCACAGAUAAAGUCUAUUAUCCUAUACUUCUGUCUCAUUGAUGAAAGAUAACUUCACAGUUUUACAAUGAUAAACAUG